This 429-nucleotide ribosomal RNA is filed under the name Bacteroidota bacterium. RNAcentral describes it as "Bacteroidetes bacterium partial 16S ribosomal RNA". It matches the Rfam family "Bacterial small subunit ribosomal RNA", at positions 355 to 776 of the family's 1533-position model. The record is from RNAcentral. Lineage: Bacteria; Pseudomonadati; Bacteroidota.
UAGGGAAUCUUCCGCAAUGGGCGAAAGCCUGACGGAGCAACGCCGCGUGAGUGAUGAAGGUCUUCGGAUCGUAAAACUCUGUUAUUAGGGAAGAACAAAUGUGUAAGUAACUAUGCACGUCUUGACGGUACCUAAUCAGAAAGCCACGGCUAACUACGUGCCAGCAGCCGCGGUAAUACGUAGGUGGCAAGCGUUAUCCGGAAUUAUUGGGCGUAAAGCGCGCGUAGGCGGUUUUUUAAGUCUGAUGUGAAAGCCCACGGCUCAACCGUGGAGGGUCAUUGGAAACUGGAAAACUUGAGUGCAUAAGAGGAAAGUGGAAUUCCAUGUGUAGCGGUGAAAUGCGCAGAGAUAUGGCGGAACACCAGUGGCGAAGGCGACUUUCUGGUCUGUAACUGACGCUGAUGUGCGAAAGCGUGGGAAUCAAACAGG